AUGGUUACGCGCCAUCGUGAUCAUACGCGCAAGGAGAAGUCUUACACUGAUGGCACGGUUCGGUAUGACUCUCGCCGCCGUGCCUUCUUCGCCGCGCCAGUUUCCCAUCGUGAUGCUCUGGGUGAACCUGCCUGGCGUGCCGUCAUGUCCGAGGAGUUUGCUGCUCUCCGUCACACUAACACCUGGGUGUUGGUGCCUCGACCACCUGGUGUUAAUAUUGUGAGCUGCAAGUGGAUUUUCAAAACCAAGCAUCGUCCGGAUGGGUCUGUUGAUAAGCACAGAGCUCAUCUUGUUGCUCGUGGUUUUACUCAACAUCAUGGGAUUGACUACGGAGAUACUUUUAGCCCCGUGGUGAAGCCUGCCACGGUUCGCUUGGUUCUGUCUCUUGCUGUGUCUCAUGGCUGGAGCCACCGACAGAUUGAUGUGAGCAAUGCCUUUCUACAUGGGUUCCUGGCCGAAGAUGUGUACAUGCAGCAGCCACCUGGGUUCGAGGAUGCCACUUAUCCCUCUCAUGUCUGCAAACUUCAGCGGUCUAUUUAUGGUCUCAAGCAGUCGCCCCGUGCCUGGUAUGCUCGUUUGAGUCAGCGCCUUUCGCGGCUCGGUUUUGUUGCCUCCAGAUCAUAUGCAUCUAUGUUCAUCUUCUCCUAG
This 648-nucleotide ribosomal RNA is filed under the name Triticum aestivum (bread wheat). RNAcentral's name for it is "partial small subunit ribosomal RNA". The record is from RNAcentral. Lineage: Eukaryota; Viridiplantae; Streptophyta; Magnoliopsida; Poales; Poaceae.